Non-coding RNA from Picea glauca (white spruce), 123 nucleotides. Lineage: Eukaryota; Viridiplantae; Streptophyta; Pinopsida; Pinales; Pinaceae. The record is from Rfam.
AUGUACAUUCCUACAACAUAGUGUUAAUGCACCGGAUCCCAUUAGAAAUCUGCAAUUAAGCGCGCUCAGGCUAGAGUAGUACUAGGAUGGGUGAUUGCAUGGGAAGUCCUAUUGUUUUACAUA